AUGAUCUCCGCUCGGUCGAUUCACCAACUUCUCGUUCUGAACGCGCCAAACUGGGUCUUGGAAGAGAUUGACAAAUGCAUGAGGGCAUUUUUCUGGGCCGGCAAGGAGAAGGCUAAUGGAGGGCAGUGCUUGGUUGCUUGGGACAUGAUUUGCCGGCCGACAUGCUAUGGAGGCCUUGGCGUAAAGAAUCUGCACCGGCAGGACCUCGCGCUCCGAGUCAGGUGGGAGUGGCUCCGAAGGACGGAUGCAACCAGGCCCUGGCAAGGUAUAUCAAUGGCCAAUGACAAGGAUGAUGCGAUGGUCUUUGACAGCCUGAUCAAGAUCGUGGUGGGAUGCGGAGCACGAGUUUUAUUCUGAAAGGACAGGUUAGGUGCACGACUUCAAGGUGGGCGAGAUUGCGCCACUCCUGGCGGCCCUCGUGAGUACCAGGGCAAAGAACACAAGGACGGUCCAGCAGGCCUUUGA
This 465-nucleotide ribosomal RNA is filed under the name Triticum aestivum (bread wheat). RNAcentral's name for it is "partial small subunit ribosomal RNA". Lineage: Eukaryota; Viridiplantae; Streptophyta; Magnoliopsida; Poales; Poaceae. The record is from RNAcentral.